AGUGCUGAUGGGAAUAUGAGGGCAGCUAGUGAUUGCUUUCAUCGCCAUCUGCCUGUUGCUGCUGUUUUUUCACUUCAUCCUGUCUAGGCCAGAUUCUGUUUUGGUCAGCAGGAUUGUGACCAGAACACAAGCCCUGCCCAUCUCCUGCCUCGGAAAAUAAGCUUCUGUUGUCAGACACCAAUAUUCCAUUUUCCACAUUUGGAGGUGUGCAUUUGUUAGGUAUAAUGCACUGAGGGACUGGGCCGCUCCAGACGACCACUUGAUCAUCUUUGCUGGUGCAGUAUAUGGAGGGCUCACCCACGAGCUCAAACACCUUUCUCCCUCUGCUUCCAAGAUUGCAGUGAGACAGGGUUUCACCAUGUUGUACAGGCUGGUCUCGACCUCCUGGGCUCAAGCGAUCUGCUCACCUAGGACUCCCAAAGUGCUGGGAUUACAGGUGUGAGCCACCACACCUGGCCCAGUAUAACAUCUUUAUUAAAUAAUAAGAACAAAAGCUCUGGCAGAACUAAUAAAGACAAAGCAAACACAAAUAUACAAUAUUACAUAUAAUAAACAU
This is a long non-coding RNA of Homo sapiens (human), 556 nucleotides long. The record is from Ensembl. NCBI's taxonomy places the organism in Eukaryota, Metazoa, Chordata, Mammalia, Primates, Hominidae.